CCUACGGGAGGCAGCAGUGAGGAAUAUUGGUCAAUGGCCGUAAGGCUGAACCAGCCAAGUCGCGUGAAGGAAGAAGGAUCUAUGGUUUGUAAACUUCUUUUAUAUGGGAAUAAAAUUAUCCACGUGUGGAUAUUUGCAUGUACCAUAUGAAUAAGCAUCGGCUAACUCCGUGCCAGCAGCCGCGGUAAUACGGAGGAUGCGAGCGUUAUCCGGAUUUAUUGGGUUUAAAGGGUGCGUAGGUUGUUUUUUAAGUCAGCGGUGAAAGUUUGUGGCUCAACCAUAAAAUUGCCGUUGAAAAUGGAAGACGUGAGUGUGUUUGAGGUAGGCGGAAUGCGUGGUGUAGCGGUGAAAUGCAUAGAUAUCACGCAGAACUCCGAUUGCGAAGGCAGCUUACUAAGCCAUAACUGACACUGAAGCACGAAAGCGUGGGGAUCAAACAGGAUUAGAUACCCUUGUAGUC
RNAcentral lists this ribosomal RNA (460 nucleotides) under uncultured bacterium. RNAcentral describes it as "partial 16S ribosomal RNA". It matches the Rfam family "Bacterial small subunit ribosomal RNA", at positions 338 to 795 of the family's 1533-position model. The record is from RNAcentral.